GUAAACCAUAGCGAGCAAAUCGUGUCGGCGUCGCAAGGCGCCUUCGCGGUUAAUAGGGAUAACCCUGGUAAUUCUGAGGCUAAUACAAGAACGUACAACCCGUCCGACCCGCAAGGGAAGGGCGGGGAAUGUGUGACCAGGCACGCAAAUUCGAAACUGGGAGUGGCCACACGUUCAGACCGCCAUACCAAACGGUCGUUCGCUUCGAAAGUCCUCGUGACGAGUAGCGGUGGACUUCUGGGCGGCUCUCGCUGUGUGCUUCUGACCUAUCAACUAGAUGGCAGCGUAACGGACAUGCUAUGGU
Molecule: ribosomal RNA, 304 nt
Filed under: Badhamia albescens
Lineage: Eukaryota; Evosea; Eumycetozoa; Physariida; Physaraceae
Description: SSU rRNA
Source: RNAcentral